RNAcentral lists this unclassified non-coding RNA (22 nucleotides) under Chlamydomonas reinhardtii. Its description in RNAcentral is "small RNA Cre_3466". Lineage: Eukaryota; Viridiplantae; Chlorophyta; Chlorophyceae; Chlamydomonadales; Chlamydomonadaceae. The record is from RNAcentral.
UGGUGCGCCCAGAAGCCGUGCA